UUAAUUGAAGAGUUUGAUCAUGGCUCAGAUUGAACGCUGGCGGCAGGCCUAACACAUGCAAGUCGAGCGGCAGCACAGAGGAACUUGUUCCUUGGGUGGCGAGCGGCGGACGGGUGAGUAAUGCCUGGGAAAUUGCCCGGUAGAGGGGGGAUAACCAUUGGAAACGAUGGCUAAUACCGCAUAACCUCGCAAGAGCAAAGCAGGGGACCUUCGGGCCUUGCGCUACCGGAUAUGCCCAGGUGGGAUUAGCUAGUUGGUGAGGUAAGGGCUCACCAAGGCGACGAUCCCUAGCUGGUCUGAGAGG
Molecule: ribosomal RNA, 304 nt
Filed under: Vibrio cholerae
Lineage: Bacteria; Pseudomonadati; Pseudomonadota; Gammaproteobacteria; Vibrionales; Vibrionaceae
Description: partial 16S ribosomal RNA
Rfam family: Bacterial small subunit ribosomal RNA
Source: RNAcentral